GACGAACGCUGGCGGCGUGCUUAACACAUGCAAGUCGAACGGAAAGGCCCUGCUUUUGUGGGGUGCUCGAGUGGCGAACGGGUGAGUAACACGUGAGUAACCUGCCCUUGACUUUGGGAUAACUUCAGGAAACUGGUGCUAAUACCGGAUAGGAGCUCCUGCUGCAUGGUGGGGGUUGGAAAGUUUCGGCGGUUGGGGAUGGACUCGCGGCUUAUCAGCUUGUUGGUGGGGUAGUGGCUUACCAAGGCUUUGACGGGUAGCCGGCCUGAGAGGGUGACCGGCCACAUUGGGACUGAGAUAGGGCCCAGACUCCUACGGGAGGCAGCAGUGGGGAAUAUUGCACAAUGGGCGGAAGCCUGAUGCAGCAACGCCGCGUGCGGGAUGACGGCCUUCGGGUUGUAAACCGCUUUCGCCUGUGACGAAGCGUGAGUGACGGUAAUGGGUAAAGAAGCACCGGCUAACUACGUG
This 468-nucleotide ribosomal RNA is filed under the name uncultured bacterium. RNAcentral describes it as "partial 16S ribosomal RNA". It matches the Rfam family "Bacterial small subunit ribosomal RNA", at positions 28 to 507 of the family's 1533-position model. The record is from RNAcentral.